UCUCUCUCUCUCUCUCUCUCUCUCUCUCUCUCUCUCUCUCUCGCUCUCUCGCUCUCUCGCUCUCGCUCUGCUUCCCUGGAAGAUGUCUGUCCAUGUCUGGCAUGCACCUGAGCUUCUCCAUUCCCAUUUACUGUGUCCUCUGCUAAUCAGGCUAAUCAGCAAGAGAGCCUUAUAAACAAAGGUGAACAGGGACCCAAAGAGAUCUACUGCCCAACCUUCUGCAGGACCUUGUCAUUGAAAUGCAGACCUAUCCCAGUGUGAGGGAAUCGUAUGAAGCACUAAACGAUAAAGAAAAGCUUCGGGACACUCUCCAUCUACAGAUGCCUGAAUUAAAUAUGAAGAAUUCCUCCUACUGAGUUUUUGACAUUGGAGUCAUGUAUUGGCCUGCUUAGAGCCAUCUAGUCACUGGACUAAGUGGACAUUAAAUCAGACGGCAUACAAAGUUACAGAAAUUUUAUCUGUAGAUAAACCACACACCUUGAGGAACUAACACAGUUCCAGAUGAAUCAACUCUGCACACUGAGGAGCAGAAGUUCCCUGCAGCAACCACACAAUCAUCUCUACACAGAGCAGCAACUGCCACAAUUAACUUAUGCCGUGAUAAACUUACAGUCUAUUGGAAAUGCUGAGCUCCGGGUAGAGGCAUACACUAAAGCAAGAGGAGGUGGGUGCUGGUAGGGUGCCUGUCUUCUCAGUACAUGGAAGGUAGAAGAGAACGUAAGGCUUCAGAGACUAGCCUUAGUCACGUAGCAGCAUAGAGGUGACAGAGGCUAUAGGGGAAUUGUUCCACUAUUUACACCUGUUAAACAGCUAAGACUCAGGGGUUAAAUUCUUAUCUAUGAUCUAAUGAAAUAUUUGUGUCCAUUCUAUAUUGAUAAUCCUAAAAUUCCAUUUUAUCGUCUCUGUGACUGCAG
Mus musculus (house mouse) is the source of this 914-nucleotide long non-coding RNA. RefSeq annotates it as MDS1 and EVI1 complex locus, opposite strand. The transcript is spliced from 3 exons. The record is from RefSeq and is a predicted model, not a curated record. NCBI's taxonomy places the organism in Eukaryota, Metazoa, Chordata, Mammalia, Rodentia, Muridae.